GUGUGCCUCUGCCUCUACUGAAUUCAUUCUUCCCUCUCAGGAGAGAGAGGGAAAUGCAGGCUACCUCAAAAGCUGUGAAGUUGCUUUGUUUGCUCUUAUCUCAGGAAGAGGUUUCCACAGAUUUGUUUAUGAAGCAGAGGAGACAAGAGGACUGAGGAACCAUUCAGGACAUAAGAAGGCUGAAUCUUGCCUUCAAAAUCAACACUGAUCUUUCCGAUCAUGUGAUAGAGAAGAAACCAAAUGUCCUCUAAUGGCUGCUCCACUGGAAAUCCAGGCAAGGAGUGGCAACCUGGCACCGUGAUCCCAGAGCACUGUAAGGCUGGAGUUCACGUACAAUUCACUUCUGAUCUGGAGACAAAAAAUGACAAUUUCUGCCUGAGGAGACUGUUCCUUCAGCUGCUGUCAGAGCUGUUCCUGUCAUUAUGGCUCAGGCCUGUAAGACUGUUCCUGCGUCUUCCAGAGAAGUAG
Molecule: long non-coding RNA, 468 nt
Filed under: Numida meleagris (helmeted guineafowl)
Lineage: Eukaryota; Metazoa; Chordata; Aves; Galliformes; Numididae
Description: lncRNA (ENSNMEG00000018778.1)
Source: RNAcentral